This 68-nucleotide transfer RNA is filed under the name Schlettererius cinctipes. RNAcentral describes it as "tRNA-Leu". The record is from RNAcentral. Lineage: Eukaryota; Metazoa; Arthropoda; Insecta; Hymenoptera; Stephanidae.
AUUGUUUUGGCAGAUUUAAGUGCUUUAAAUUUAGAAUUUAAUAAAAUGUUUAUAUAACAUAAAUAAUA